This is a small nucleolar RNA of Argentina anserina (silverweed cinquefoil), 98 nucleotides long. RefSeq annotates it as small nucleolar RNA Z266. The record is from RefSeq and is a predicted model, not a curated record. Lineage: Eukaryota; Viridiplantae; Streptophyta; Magnoliopsida; Rosales; Rosaceae. The transcript has a single exon.
UCUUGGCAAGAGUGAUGAUUCAAUUAGAUGUGUGAAAGGAGGAUAUCUUUUUUCGUGAACUUAAUUGUUUGAGGCAUAACAUGUAUGACUUGCCUGCU